UUAUGUAUUUUAUGUCUUUUACAAUAAUAUUUUAUUGAGUUACAUGCGUAGAUGAUAUCAAACAUCAAUUUGAAAUUCCACAAAAAAAACUUGCGAAAUGUCAAAUUUAAUUAGUUUUUUUUUUUAAUUAAAAUUAUGAGGCUGUUAAUUAAUAUUUUAUUAGUGAUCUCAAGUACAAAGUGAAAAUAAAAUAAAUUAAGUUAAUUAACGGAGUAAAUAAAAUAAUAUGCAUUGCAUUUUAAUGGAAAACUGGGAACCCCACACUAAGUUGGAAAGGCUUUCGCGUAAGUUUGUAGAUAGUGGGCGUUUAUGGGAAGCACGUGUCAGCUUGUGGGCGUCUGUUGUUCGGCAACCUGCUCUCUGAGUCGACAAUCACGUGAGUUACUGUGUAGUACAAUCUAGUUACAUGCGUUUUUCUCGACAUGGUUUUUGGGCACCGCAAAACAAUGAGACAGCCAUGAGUUAUCAUGCCUACCGCAUGAAGACAGACAAGAUAAAUAAGCUAAUAAGUAAUAAAUGAAUAGUCGUAAAUGAGGCAGUCAUGAAUUAUCCUGACUAUGGCAUGGAGACUUUUUUUAACAUGACUCGUCUCUCCCCACUACCACUGGCUUAUUUUUAAAUAUUUUUUUAUGAAAAUUUAGCAGAAUGUUCUUAAAAUGAUACUUAAUAAUGUCACAAAUUUUAAGAAUUUGAAUAAAGAAGCUACUCUGAAAAAAAAGUUGCAAAAAUAUGCUCUCG
This is a long non-coding RNA of Microplitis demolitor, 738 nucleotides long. RefSeq lists it as uncharacterized. The transcript is spliced from 4 exons. The record is from RefSeq and is a predicted model, not a curated record. NCBI's taxonomy places the organism in Eukaryota, Metazoa, Arthropoda, Insecta, Hymenoptera, Braconidae.